CCCUUUGGGUGUGACUGCGUACCUUUUGUAUAAUGGGUCAGCGACUUAUAUUCUGUAGCAAGGUUAACCGAAUAGGGGAGCCGGAGGGAAACCGAGUCUUAACCGGGCGUUAAGUUGCAGGGUAUAGACCCGAAACCCGGUGAUCUAGCCAUGGGCAGGUUGAAGGUUGGGUAACACUAACUGGAGGACCGAACCGACUAAUGUUGAAAAAUUAGCGGAUGACCUGUGGCUGGGGGUGAAAGGCCAAUCAAACCGGGAGAUAGCUGGUUCUCCCCGAAAGCUAUUUAGGUAGCGCCUCGUGAAUUCAUCUCCGGGGGUAGAGCACUGUUUCGGCUAGGGGGCCAUCCCGGCUUACCAACCCGAUGCAAACUGCGAAUACCGGAGAAUGUUAUCACGGGAGACACACGGCGGGUGCUAACGUCCGUCGUGAAGAGGGAAACAACCCAGACCGCCAGCUAAGGUCCCAAAGUCAUGGUUAAGUGGGAAACGAUGUGGGAAGGCCCAGACAGCCAGGAUGUUGGCUUAGAAGCAGCCAUCAUUUAAAGAAAGCGUAAUAGCUCACUGGUCGAGUCGGCCUGCGCGGAAGAUGUAACGGGGCUAAACCAUGCACCGAAGCUGCGGCAGCGACACUGUGUGUUGUUGGGUAGGGGAGCGUUCUGUAAGCCUGCGAAGGUGGCCUGUGAGGGUUGCUGGAGGUAUCAGAAGUGCGAAUGCUGACAUAAGUAACGAUAAAGCGGGUGAAAAGCCCGCUCGCCGGAAGACCAAGGGUUCCUGUCCAACGUUAAUCGGGGCAGGGUGAGUCGACCCCUAAGGCGAGGCCGAAAGGCGUAGUCGAUGGGAAACGGGUUAAUAUUCCCGUACUUGGUGUUACUGCGAAGGGGGGACGGAGAAGGCUAUGUUGGCCGGGCGACGGUUGUCCCGGUUUAAGCGUGUAGGCUGGUUUUCCAGGCAAAUCCGGAAAAUCAAGGCUGAGGCGUGA
RNAcentral lists this ribosomal RNA (979 nucleotides) under Salmonella enterica subsp. enterica serovar Enteritidis. RNAcentral describes it as "partial 23S ribosomal RNA". It matches the Rfam family "Bacterial large subunit ribosomal RNA", at positions 582 to 1566 of the family's 2925-position model. Lineage: Bacteria; Pseudomonadati; Pseudomonadota; Gammaproteobacteria; Enterobacterales; Enterobacteriaceae. The record is from RNAcentral.